Long non-coding RNA from Musa acuminata AAA Group (dessert banana), 651 nucleotides. RefSeq lists it as uncharacterized. The record is from RefSeq and is a predicted model, not a curated record. The transcript is spliced from 3 exons. NCBI's taxonomy places the organism in Eukaryota, Viridiplantae, Streptophyta, Magnoliopsida, Zingiberales, Musaceae.
AUCGUCGGCUCCCGCCCUCGCGUCUUAACCAAGCUGGCAGAGAACUCCGAGUUCCUCGGCUUUGUGGGAAAAUUCUAGGGUUCUUGUUCGCGAUCUUUCCUGAGAAGAGGAAGGAGAGAGGAGAGAGAAGACAGGAAGAGACCGCGUCCCCUGCUUUGGACGGAGCUGCCUUGAUCUUUCCUGCGGACUCUCGUCGGCCCCUCCAUCUUGACCUACUCCAAAUGGGUCCUGAAUAGGUGCCGCCGCCACUGGCAGCUCGGCCUCGAUCUCCCCUUCCUUGCCGCUCUCUGGCACUUCCACUUUUGUUGGUAGCCAUGGUUGACAACAAAGGUCCUCACUGAUGUUUGUUCUAGGAUGAGACAAAAGCACCUGCUCCCUUAUCGAACUGACUGGGACUUGAUCCAUCUUCUAGCAGGGGUUGGGUCCACAGAUGGACCACUGAGAGAGGCAUCUCCAAAACGUGGUAGCACCUCAAAAAUUCUUUUUGAUGUAAAUCAGAAAGUUGUAGUCCAACUUAUUUUAAGUUUUUUUUUUUUUUAACCUUUAACCUUCACUUUUAGUGGUCAUCUAAAGAUGUGAAUGCAACACUUCCAUUGCUUGUUAGUUUAUGUCAUUCUCCGAAUGAAUAAAUCAGAAUCAUCAACUACUCAA